RNAcentral lists this non-coding RNA (28 nucleotides) under Bombyx mori (domestic silkworm). Lineage: Eukaryota; Metazoa; Arthropoda; Insecta; Lepidoptera; Bombycidae. The record is from RNAcentral.
UUGCUGAUGUUGGAGCCCAGGUAAACAA